AGGUCUCCGCGUUCUUACACUGCUCACACAUGUAGCCUCCCAUUCAAAUGCAAACCAGGGUGGACCCUGCUUAUUCCAGGUGAGAUCUGACUAGUCAGUGUAGAACAGAGUGGAACCAUUACCUCCCCCGUUCUGGACUCUCUGCUUCUGUUCACACAGCACAAGUUUGCAUUAGCUUUUCUUUUAGCAGGAACUGGGUAGGUAAGGAUCAGAAUCUGCUAGAGUUUAUUCUGCUUAGGCCAUGUCAAGGUUUUUGUUUUGCAUUUAACCCAGUAGAGGUGUUAGCUACUGAUUUUGUGUAUUUUAGGUUGAUUAAAUCCCAGCAGUACAUUUAGAGCAAUUAGACACACAUCUAAUGCCGUGCAUUUAUCCUGUGUUGUCUGGAUGAGAACUGGAAUACGUGUCCUCCCAAGGUCUGGGGGCAUCACAUGGGUAUUAUACAGGAACCCAGCGCCGGCAGUCUUUCUCAAGGAGCAGCAAUUGUGGAUUCUCACCAAACCCUCGCUCACACACCCUGAAAGCUCUGUUUGCAAAUCAGUAUUCCAUUAACGCUAUGUCGUAAUAAAUGAAUACACAAAUUGGUAGCCAGGAGACAAGGCAGAGUCAAGUAUUAAUAUGCAGACAUUUUCAAAAUAUAUGAGCGGAGGAUCUCGCUCAGAUAAAAAUGAUGGAAGCUGGCAGGAGGAUAUAACUACAGAGACGGGAGAGCAGCAGAGGGAAAUGGCAGUGCACCUCUGCUCACUUUUCAGAUGCACCUUUCAAGCUGCUGUUGGAAACUCCCCAACAAGACCUGGUAUUCUGACAUCUGAGAUAUGGUGAAAAUUGCUUGCGAACAUCAAGAAAUGAACCGGCACCCAUGAAACCUCGCGUAGAAUUCUGCCGUCCCCCAACAAAGCUGACUUCCUGUUUUCAGGACCUGAAUUCCGGCCCCACCCCAGUUUCUUUCAAGUUGAAUUUGUAUAUAAUUAAAUUGUGAAGAUUUGUGUGUGUUUUCAAAGUUGCUUGCAAUUAGUCAGAAUACCACGCAGUAAGAAAUGACUGCAUUUCCACUUAGGCAAAUAAUUGCUUUAGCCUUUACCCAAAGUUCUCUUCUUUUAAUGAUGUUUAUUAAUUAGAGACAGCAAUAUGUUUAAAUGGAAAACUAAUUUGGGCAUUUUCUU
This is a long non-coding RNA of Hemicordylus capensis (graceful crag lizard), 1160 nucleotides long. RefSeq lists it as uncharacterized. The transcript has 3 exons. The record is from RefSeq and is a predicted model, not a curated record. NCBI's taxonomy places the organism in Eukaryota, Metazoa, Chordata, Lepidosauria, Squamata, Cordylidae.